AUACGUAGGGGGCGAGCGUUGUCCGGAAUGAUUGGGCGUAAAGGGCGCGUAGGCGGCCUGUUAAGUCUGGAGUGAAAGUCUUGUUUUCAAGAUGGGAAUUGCUUUGGAUACUGAUGGGCUUGAGUGCAGGAGAGGUUAUCGGAAUUCCCGGUGUAGCGGUGAAAUGCGUAGAGAUCGGGAGGAACACCAGUGGCGAAGGCGGGUAACUGGACUGCAACUGACGCUGAGGCGCGAAAGUGUGGGGAGCAAACAGGAUUAGAUACCCUGGUAGUCCACACUGUAAACGAUGAAUGCUAGGUGUAGGGGGUAUCGACCCCUUCUGUGCCGCAGUCAACACAAUAAGCAUUCCGCCUGGGGAGUACGGCCGCAAGGUUGAAACUCAAAGGAAUUGACGGGG
Molecule: ribosomal RNA, 397 nt
Filed under: uncultured bacterium
Lineage: Bacteria
Description: partial 16S ribosomal RNA
Rfam family: Bacterial small subunit ribosomal RNA
Source: RNAcentral